AACCAGCCAUGCCGCGUGCAGGAAGACGGCUCUAUGAGUUGUAAACUGCUUUUAUGUCAGGGUAAUUGUGAGUACGCGUACUCACUUGAAAGUAUGACAAGAAUAAGGAUCGGCUAACUCCGUGCCAGCAGCCGCGGUAAUACGGAGGAUCCAAGCGUUAUCCGGAUUUAUUGGGUUUAAAGGGUGCGUAGGCGGUUUUUUAAGUUAGAGGUGAAAUCUGGAGGCUCAACCUCCAAAUUGCCUGUGAUACUGGGAGACUAGAGAGUAGAUGCGGUAGGCGGAAUGUGUGGUGUAGCGGUGAAAUGCUUAGAUAUCACACAGAACACCGAUUGCGAAGGCAGCUUACCAAUCUACGACUGACGCUGAGGCACGAAAGCGUGGGUAGCAAACAGGAUUAGAUACCCUGGUAGUCCACGCAGUAAACGAUGAUAACUCGUUGUCGGCGAUAUACUGUCGGUGACCAAGCGAAAGCGUUAAGUUAUCCACCUGGGGAGUACGUUCGCAAGAAUGAAACUCAAAGGAAUUGACGGGGGCCCGCACAAGCGGAGGAACAUGUGGUUUAAUUCGAUGAUACGCGAGGAACCUUACCCGGGCUUGAAAGUUAGUGACGGAUGUGGAAACAUGUCUUCCCUUCGGGGCACGAAACUAGGUGCUGCAUGGUUGUCGUCAGCUCGUGCCGUGAGGUGUCGGGUUAAGUCCCAUAACGAGCGCAACCCCUACCGUUAGUUGCCAUCGGGUCAAGUCGGGGACUCUAACGGGACUGCCGGUGUAAGCAGUGAGGAAGGUGGGGAUGACGUCAAAUCAGCACGGCCCUUACGUCCGGGGCCACACACGUGUUACAAUGGUCGGUACAGAGGGCAGCUACCCAGCGAUGGGAUGCGAAUCUCGAAAGCCGAUCUCAGUUCGGAUCGGAGGCUGAAACUCGCCUCCGUGAAGUUGGAUUCGCUAGUAAUCGCGCAUCA
Molecule: ribosomal RNA, 962 nt
Filed under: uncultured Bacteroidales bacterium
Lineage: Bacteria; Pseudomonadati; Bacteroidota; Bacteroidia; Bacteroidales
Description: bacterial SSU rRNA
Rfam family: Bacterial small subunit ribosomal RNA
Source: RNAcentral